AUUGAACGCUGGCGGCAUGCCUUACACAUGCAAGUCGAACGGCAGCGGGGGAGAAGCUUGCUUUUCCUGCCGGCGAGUGGCGAACGGGUGAGUAAUACAUCGGAACGUGCCCUGUAGUGGGGGAUAACUAGUCGAAAGAUUAGCUAAUACCGCAUACGACCUGAGGGUGAAAGUGGGGGACCGCAAGGCCUCAUGCUAUAGGAGCGGCCGAUGUCUGAUUAGCUAGUUGGUGGGGGAAAGGCCUACCAAGGCGACGAUCAGUAGCUGGUCUGAGAGGACGAUGAGCCACACUUGGACUGAGAGACGGCCCAGACUCCUACGGGAGGCAGCAGUGGGGAAUUUUGGACAAUGGGCGAAAGCCUGAGCCAGCAAUGCCGCGUGUGUGAAGAAGGCCUUCGGGUUGUAAAGCACUUUUGUCCGGAAAGAAAUGGCUCUGGUUAAUACCUGUGGUCGAUGACGGUACCGGAAGAAUAAGGACCGGCUAACUACGUGCCAGCCGCCGCCGUAA
This 508-nucleotide ribosomal RNA is filed under the name uncultured bacterium. Its description in RNAcentral is "partial 16S ribosomal RNA". It matches the Rfam family "Bacterial small subunit ribosomal RNA", at positions 30 to 523 of the family's 1533-position model. The record is from RNAcentral.